RNAcentral lists this ribosomal RNA (256 nucleotides) under uncultured bacterium. RNAcentral describes it as "partial 16S ribosomal RNA". It matches the Rfam family "Bacterial small subunit ribosomal RNA", at positions 524 to 776 of the family's 1533-position model. The record is from RNAcentral.
UACGUAGGUGGCGAGCGUUGUCCGGAUUUAUUGGGUUUAAAGGGUGCGUAGGCGGCUUUGUAAGUCAGUGGUGAAAUACUCCAGCUUAACUGGAGGGGUGCCAUUGAUACUGCGGAGCUUGAGUACAGAUGAGGUAGGCGGAAUUGACGGUGUAGCGGUGAAAUGCAUAGAUAUCGUCAAGAACACCGAUAGCGAAGGCAGCUUACUGGGCUGUAACUGACGCUGAUGCACGAAAAGUGUGGGGGAUCAAAACAGG